AGGGAUCAUUGCUGGAACGCGCCCCAGGCGCACCCAGAAACCCUUUGUGAACUUAUACCUUACUGUUGCCUCGGCGCAUGCUGGCCCCCUCGGGGGCCCCUCGGAGACGAGGAGCAGGCACGCCGGCGGCCAAGUUAACUCUUGUUUUUACACUGAAACUCUGAGAAAAAAACACAAAUGAAUCAAAACUUUCAACAACGGAUCUCUUGGUUCUGGCAUCGAUGAAGAACGCAGCGAAAUGCGAUAAGUAAUGUGAAUUGCAGAAUUCAGUGAAUCAUCGAAUCUUUGAACGCACAUUGCGCCCUCUGGUAUUCCGGAGGGCAUGCCUGUUCGAGCGUCAUUUCAACCCUCAAGCAUUGCUUGGUGUUGGGGCACUGCCUGUAAAAGGGCAGGCCCUGAAAUCUAGUGGCGAGCUCGCCAGGACCCCGAGCGCAGUAGUUAAACCCUCGCUUUGGAAGGCCCUGGCGGUGCCCUGCCGUUAAACCCCCAACUUCUGAAAAUUUGACCUCGGAUCAGGUAGGAAUACCCGC
Molecule: ribosomal RNA, 530 nt
Filed under: Diaporthe lithocarpi (nom. inval.)
Lineage: Eukaryota; Fungi; Ascomycota; Sordariomycetes; Diaporthales; Diaporthaceae
Description: eukaryotic LSU rRNA
Rfam family: 5.8S ribosomal RNA (bases 187-340)
Source: RNAcentral